GAUGAACGCUGGCGGCGUGCCUAAUACAUGCAAGUCGAGCGAACGGACGAGAAGCUUGCUUCUCUGAUGUUAGCGGCGGACGGGUGAGUAACACGUGGAUAACCUACCUAUAAGACUGGGAUAACUUCGGGAAACCGUAGCUAAUACCGUAUAAUAUUUUGAACCGCAUGGUUCAAAAGUGAAAGACGGUCUUGCUGUCACUUAUAGAUGGAUCCGCGCUGCAUUAGCUAGUUGGUAAGGUAACGGCUUACCAAGGCAACGAUGCAUAGCCGAACUGAGAGGGUGAUCGGCCACACUGGAACUGAGACACGGUCAAGACUCCUACGGGAGGCAGCAGUCGGGAAUCUUCCGCAGAGGGCGAAAGCCUGACGGAGCAACGCCGCGUGAGUGAUGAAGGUGUUCGGAUCGUAAAACUCUGUUAUUAGGGAAGAACAUAUGUGUAAGUAACUGUGCACAUCUUGACGGUACCUAAUCAGAAAGCCACGGCUAACUACGUG
RNAcentral lists this ribosomal RNA (497 nucleotides) under uncultured bacterium. RNAcentral's name for it is "partial 16S ribosomal RNA". It matches the Rfam family "Bacterial small subunit ribosomal RNA", at positions 28 to 507 of the family's 1533-position model. The record is from RNAcentral.